Molecule: ribosomal RNA, 433 nt
Filed under: uncultured bacterium
Lineage: Bacteria
Description: partial 16S ribosomal RNA
Rfam family: Bacterial small subunit ribosomal RNA
Source: RNAcentral
AGCGAACGCUGGCGGCAGGCUUAACACAUGCAAGUCGAGCGGGCCUUUCGGGGUCAGCGGCGGACGGGUGAGUAACGCGUGGGAACGUGCCCUCUGGUUCGGAAUAACUCAGGGAAACUUGAGCUAAUACCGGAUACGCCCUUUUGGGGAAAGGCUUGCUGCCGGAGGAUCGGCCCGCGUCUGAUUAGCUAGUUGGUGAGGUAACGGCUCACCAAGGCGACGAUCAGUAGCUGGUCUGAGAGGAUGAUCAGCCACACUGGGACUGAGACACGGCCCAGACUCCUACCGGAGGCAGCAGUGGGGAAUAUUGGACAAUGGGCGCAAGCCUGAUCCAGCCAUGCCGCGUGAGUGAUGAAGGCCUUAGGGUUGUAAAGCUCUUUUAUCCGGGACGAUAAUGACGGUACCGGAGGAAUAAGCCCCGGCUAACUUCGUG